ACUCCUACGGGAGGCAGCAGUAGGGAAUAUUGGACAAUGGGUGCGAGCCUGAUCCAGCCAUGCCGCGUGCAGGAAGACGGCCUUUUGGGUUGUAAACUGCUUUUGCCAGGGGAUAAAAAGUCCCUGCGGGGAAAAUGAAGGUACCUGGUGAAUAAGCCACGGCUAACUACGUGCCAGCAGCCGCGGUAAU
Molecule: ribosomal RNA, 190 nt
Filed under: uncultured bacterium
Lineage: Bacteria
Description: partial 16S ribosomal RNA
Rfam family: Bacterial small subunit ribosomal RNA
Source: RNAcentral